GAUGAAGAACGCAGUGAAAUGCGAUAAGUAAUGUGAAUUGCAGAAUUCAGUGAAUCAUCGAAUCUUUGAACGCACAUUGCGCCCGCCAGUAUUCUGGCGGGCAUGUCUGUCCGAGCGUCAUUUCAACCCUCGAACCCCUCCGGGGGGUCGGCGUUGGGGAUCGGCCCUUUACGGGGCCGGCCCCGAAAUACAGUGGCGGUCUCGCCGCAGCCUCUCCUGCGCAGUAGUUUGCACACUCGCAUCGGGAGCGCGGCGCGUCCAAUGCCGUAAAACACCCAACUUUCUGAAAUGUUGACCUCGGAUCAGGUAGGAAUACCCGCUGAACUUAAGCAUAUCAAUAAGCGGAGGA
RNAcentral lists this unclassified non-coding RNA (349 nucleotides) under soil metagenome. RNAcentral's name for it is "partial contains 5.8S ribosomal RNA, internal transcribed spacer 2, and large subunit ribosomal RNA". The stretch from base 1 to 120 matches the Rfam family "5.8S ribosomal RNA", at positions 35 to 154 of the family's 154-position model. The record is from RNAcentral.